UACGGAGGAUGCAAGCGUUAUCUGGAUUUAUUGGGUUUAAAGGGUGCGCAGGUUGUUUGAUAAGUCAGUGGUGAAAGUCUGUCGCUUAACGGUAGGAUUGCCAUUGAUACUGUUGGACUUGAAUAUGGAUGAGGUAGGCGGAAUGUGUAGUGUAGCGGUGAAAUGCAUAGAUAUUACACAGAACACCGAUUGCGAAGGCAGCUUACUAAUCCAUCAUUGACGCUGAGGCACGAAAGCGUGGGGAUCAAA
RNAcentral lists this ribosomal RNA (249 nucleotides) under uncultured prokaryote. RNAcentral's name for it is "partial 16S ribosomal RNA". It matches the Rfam family "Bacterial small subunit ribosomal RNA", at positions 524 to 772 of the family's 1533-position model. The record is from RNAcentral.